This 1154-nucleotide long non-coding RNA is filed under the name Calidris pugnax (ruff). RNAcentral describes it as "lncRNA (ENSCPUG00000010888.1)". Lineage: Eukaryota; Metazoa; Chordata; Aves; Charadriiformes; Scolopacidae. The record is from RNAcentral.
UCCUCAUCUUGUUUGUUCUGUCUAAGCAGUGGUGCAACAGUGACACUCUUGAACUGAAAGCCUGCAUCUCACUUGCUUCAGGUGCAGAGAGCCGUCUGUGCUGUGAGGAAGAUCGUAGAAUGCCUUGGAAUGAAGAGCAACAGAAAGGACCUUCAGUUUGGGGAGCUGUCUCAGACACCACCCGGGCAUAAAGUAGCCUUCACAGAAGAGACAAGAACCUAAUUCCAGGGCAGCACUACGUACUAUCGAGUCAAUGGUUAUUGGGUGGUCACAUCAGAUUCAUGAUGCUGUGAGUAAGGACACUGCCAAACCUCUUCUGCAUGGCCUUCAUCCAUACCCCUAAACUGAACUGAACUUCUGGAAAGCAAGAAAAGAGAAUCCUUUACUAUAUAAAAAGCAAGAAAUUUUCAUUAACAUGUUGGAAUUUCAAAAGAUGGAAAAGCUGGAGUCUGGAAUCAAGGGGAAAAAUUUAAAUAAGUGGAUCUGCUGAACGAAUGAAGAGUUUCUGGAAAGCUGUGAAGAUUUCAGAAAGAGACCAUGCGAUCCUUCAGAUCACAGUAAUGUUCUUCAGAAACUAUUUGCCUCCGGGUUUGACAGUACUAAACAGGAGCUUUAUCAAGCAACAGCUGUCAUCUUACAGCUAAUUUGUUUCUCAGAAGCUUCAAGGUUCAUGCUGUUCAGUGUAUGAUAGUGAAUAUUGGCCACAUAUUUCCAUGAACAAGUUUUAUACACUUCUGAAUAGGUAACGUGCAGUAUGUGUCUGGUUAAUAUGUGGAUGCAAUUGCCCCAAAUCCAGGACAGAGCUGUGGUGUGACUCAGGAUCUGACCCUGAAGAGGACCAAAGGGUGCUUAGCUUUCAGGACACAGAUAUGGGCUUCUCAGACUCAUUGUUUUAAAUGAUUUUUUUUUGAUGUGUAAAAUAUAGGUGUUUUAAAAACGUAUCACACCCAGUCACAGAACUAAAUCUGAAUUUCUUUAUUGGCUAUGAAGAAGUGCAUGUAGUUCAUCUGUCCUGUUUUGGGUACAUAUGUGUGGUUUUGUGAAGUGUGUUUAAAAACCAAACAAAACAAACCCACAUUGACUGGGGAGGAGGGAGUUAGAAAGUAAGAAGAUUCUUAAAUAAACCUUUCCAAAGAGGCUGGAUUUAAUUUAAA